UUGUCAAACAAGUUUGGCAACACGUAAAAGUAAACGAAUUGAAACUCAUUUUCAUUUUCAUAAUUCGCAGUUGUUUUGCAAUAAGAACAAAGAUUAGAGAUUUCAGAAACUAAACAAUUUCGAAAAAAUGUAUGUUCAACUGUUACUUUUGGUAUUUUGUUUGAUUGCCAUCACGAAGGUGGAAGCAUCACAAGGGUACGAUUUUGGCGAUUUCCUAGCAACUAUGUUAGGAAUUGGUAUCGCAGUGACUGGUAUUCUAGCAUGCUUAGGAAAUUACGCUAGGCAAAAGGCAAGGAACGAAUUUAUAUAAGUGUUUAAUUAUAGUUUCUUCUAAGUUGUAACCACAAGGAAAUAAAGAUGAUAACUUAUUUAUAAUGAAUAUAACAUAGCACCAAAGGAGAUGAUUAUUUGCAAGUUGAAGUGAUAGAUUGUUUUUGCAGAAAACAUUAACAUCAUGUACUUGUAACUUAAUCAGUGAUUAUAUUGUUAUCUAUUGUA
Colias croceus (clouded yellow) is the source of this 498-nucleotide long non-coding RNA. RefSeq lists it as uncharacterized. The transcript is spliced from 2 exons. The record is from RefSeq and is a predicted model, not a curated record. Lineage: Eukaryota; Metazoa; Arthropoda; Insecta; Lepidoptera; Pieridae.